AUUCUACCCAUGCGGGGAAGGAUGAGAAGCUUCGACCAAGGUUCGAUUCGAGCGAAAGCGAGAAAGCGUUGCCAACGGCAACGACCCGAAGGGCGAAGCGCGCAGCGCUGAGUCAUCCUUCCCCCACCACCA
This 132-nucleotide small RNA is filed under the name Salmonella enterica. RNAcentral describes it as "RtT sRNA". It matches the Rfam family "RtT RNA". Rfam says of the family: This family represents a bacterial cis-regulatory element known as RtT RNA. The exact function of RtT is unknown although it is thought that it may be involved in changing the cellular response in relation to amino acid starvation. The record is from RNAcentral. Lineage: Bacteria; Pseudomonadati; Pseudomonadota; Gammaproteobacteria; Enterobacterales; Enterobacteriaceae. RNAcentral also lists the same sequence under 1 other name.